Molecule: ribosomal RNA, 1439 nt
Filed under: Helicobacter pylori
Lineage: Bacteria; Pseudomonadati; Campylobacterota; Epsilonproteobacteria; Campylobacterales; Helicobacteraceae
Description: bacterial SSU rRNA
Rfam family: Bacterial small subunit ribosomal RNA
Source: RNAcentral
AUUAGAGUUUGAUCAUGGCUCAGAGUGAACGCUGGCGGCGUGCCUAAUACAUGCAAGUCGAACGAUGAAGCUUCUAGCUUGCUAGAGUGCUGAUUAGUGGCGCACGGGUGAGUAACGCAUAGGUCAUGUGCCUCUUAGUUUGGGAUAGCCAUUGGAAACGAUGAUUAAUACCAGAUACUCCCUACGGGGGAAAGAUUUAUCGCUAAGAGAUCAGCCUAUGUCCUAUCAGCUUGUUGGUAAGGUAAUGGCUUACCAAGGCUAUGACGGGUAUCCGGCCUGAGAGGGUGAACGGACACACUGGAACUGAGACACGGUCCAGACUCCUACGGGAGGCAGCAGUAGGGAAUAUUGCUCAAUGGGGGAAACCCUGAAGCAGCAACGCCGCGUGGAGGAUGAAGGUUUUAGGAUUGUAAACUCCUUUUGUUAGAGAAGAUAAUGACGGUAUCUAACGAAUAAGCACCGGCUAACUCCGUGCCAGCAGCCGCGGUAAUACGGAGGGUGCAAGCGUUACUCGGAAUCACUGGGCGUAAAGAGCGCGUAGGCGGGAUAGUCAGUCAGGUGUGAAAUCCUAUGGCUUAACCAUAGAACUGCAUUUGAAACUACUAUUCUAGAGUGUGGGAGAGGUAGGUGGAAUUCUUGGUGUAGGGGUAAAAUCCGUAGAGAUCAAGAGGAAUACUCAUUGCGAAGGCGACCUGCUGGAACAUUACUGACGCUGAUUGCGCGAAAGCGUGGGGAGCAAACAGGAUUAGAUACCCUGGUAGUCCACGCCCUAAACGAUGGAUGCUAGUUGUUGGAGGGCUUAGUCUCUCCAGUAAUGCAGCUAACGCAUUAAGCAUCCCGCCUGGGGAGUACGGUCGCAAGAUUAAAACUCAAAGGAAUAGACGGGGACCCGCACAAGCGGUGGAGCAUGUGGUUUAAUUCGAAGAUACACGAAGAACCUUACCUAGGCUUGACAUUGAGAGAAUCCGCUAGAAAUAGUGGAGUGUCUGGCUUGCUAGACCUUGAAAACAGGUGCUGCACGGCUGUCGUCAGCUCGUGUCGUGAGAUGUUGGGUUAAGUCCCGCAACGAGCGCAACCCCCUUUCUUAGUUGCUAACAGGUUAUGCUGAGAACUCUAAGGAUACUGCCUCCGUAAGGAGGAGGAAGGUGGGGACGACGUCAAGUCAUCAUGGCCCUUACGCCUAGGGCUACACACGUGCUACAAUGGGGUGCACAAAGAGAAGCAAUACUGCGAAGUGGAGCCAAUCUUCAAAACACCUCUCAGUUCGGAUUGUAGGCUGCAACUCGCCUGCAUGAAGCUGGAAUCGCUAGUAAUCGCAAAUCAGCCAUGUUGCGGUGAAUACGUUCCCGGGUCUUGUACUCACCGCCCGUCACACCAUGGGAGUUGUGUUUGCCUUAAGUCAGGAUGCUAAAUUGGCUACUGCCCACGGCACACACAGC